Molecule: ribosomal RNA, 379 nt
Filed under: Vanrija musci
Lineage: Eukaryota; Fungi; Basidiomycota; Tremellomycetes; Trichosporonales; Trichosporonaceae
Description: eukaryotic LSU rRNA
Rfam family: Eukaryotic large subunit ribosomal RNA
Source: RNAcentral
CUGGCUGUCUUCGAUAGUCCGAGUUGUAAUCUAUAGACGUGUUUUCCGUGCUGGACCGUAUCUAAGUCCCUUGGAACAGGGUAUCAAAGAGGGUGACAAUCCCGUGCUUGAUACGACCACCAGUGCUCUGUGAUACACGCUCUACGAGUCGAGUUGUUUGGGAAUGCAGCUCAAAAUGGGUGGUAAAUUCCAUCUAAAGCUAAAUAUUGGCGAGAGACCGAUAGCGAACAAGUACCGUGAGGGAAAGAUGAAAAGCACUUUGGAAAGAGAGUUAAACAGUACGUGAAAUUGUUGAAAGGGAAACGAUUGAAGUCAGUCGUGUUCUUUGGAUUCAGCUAGUUCUUCUAGUCUACUUCCAUUGAACGGGUCAACAUCAGUU